CGUAGGUGGCAAGCGUUGUCCGGAAUUAUUGGGCGUAAAGCGCGCACAGGCGGCCUAUCCAGUCUGUCUUAAAAGUUCGGGGCUAAACCCCGUGAUGGGAUGGAAACUAGUAGGCUAGAGUAUCGGAGAGGAAAGCGGAAUUCCUAGUGUAGCGGUGAAAUGCGUAGAUAUUAGGAAGAACACCAGUGGCGAAGGCGGCUUUCUGGACGAAAACUGACGCUGAGGCGCGAAAGCCAGGGGAGCGAACGGGAUU
RNAcentral lists this ribosomal RNA (253 nucleotides) under uncultured bacterium. RNAcentral's name for it is "partial 16S ribosomal RNA". It matches the Rfam family "Bacterial small subunit ribosomal RNA", at positions 526 to 779 of the family's 1533-position model. The record is from RNAcentral.